CAACAUCAAGCUACCAUGUUGUUCAGCAGCCAGCUGUUCUGGAUCUACAUCAUAAAACUUCGGAGACUCUGCAGUGUUCACUUGUCUCUCAGACUGAGACAGAGACUUGUGCAGGAGAUCCCAGUGUGUUCUGGUUCAGAACCGGAUCAGACAAGAACUCUCCUGAUCUCAUCUACAGUGAUGGAAAAAUGCCUGAAAAUUGUGAGAAGACGUCAAACACUCAGAAGAAAUGUAGAUAUAAUUUCUCUAAGAACAUCAACUCCUCUGAUGUUGGGACUUAUCACUGUGCUGUGGCCACAUGCAAAGAGAUAUUUAUUGGAAAUGGAACCAGAAUCGAAAGCGCUCAUUCAUCCUGUUAUGAAGUUAUGUUGCUGCUGGUGGUCACAGGAAUCUGCUUGACCAUUUGUGUGAUUGUGAUUAUUGUUUUAAUCUGUUGCCAAACUCAAAGAACACCAUGCAAAAACUUUACAGGUAAGUAUUAAUCAAACAAAUAGGAAGUUUAUUUCAAAAGAGAAAAAAAUGAAGAUAAUUUCAGAAUGCAUAUUGCUUUUUAUACCAUGUGUCUAGAAAACACAACACAAUGACACAGAUGAUAUUAUGAGUAAACACAUCUAAUUUUGUUUGUGAAUUCAAAAUGAAAAAAAAAAACACAACUGGAUACAACAAAAUGUAUAUUUUGAUUUAAAUAUUAUGCUUCCUCUCAGACAGAAGAUGGAGAUCAUGUGACCUAUGCUGCCUUGCAUUUCUCCACAGAGAUGACAAAAAAGAGAGAGCUGAAGACUGAAGAAAGUGUAUAUUCAAAUGUCAGAGAACUGACUUAAAUAUAAUCAUGUUCAAUAAAGUUGGAUAUGGCUUCCAAUGAAACUUGA
Xiphophorus hellerii (green swordtail) is the source of this 869-nucleotide long non-coding RNA. RefSeq lists it as uncharacterized. The transcript has 2 exons. The record is from RefSeq and is a predicted model, not a curated record. NCBI's taxonomy places the organism in Eukaryota, Metazoa, Chordata, Actinopteri, Cyprinodontiformes, Poeciliidae.